ACGGAGGCAGCAGUGGGGGAUAUUGCAUAAUGGGGGAAACCCUGAUGCAGCGACGCCGCGUGAGCGAAGAAGUAUUUCGGUAUGUAAAGCUCUAUCAGCAGGGAAGAAAAUGACGGUACCUGACUAAGAAGCCCCGGCUAACUACGUGCCAGCAGCCGCGGUAAUACGUAGGGGGCAAGCGUUAUCCGGAUUUACUGGGUGUAAAGGGAGCGUAGACGGCGAGGCAAGUCUGAUGUGAAAGCUCGGGGCUCAACCCCGGAACUGCAUUGGAAACUGUUUUGCUAGAGUGUCGGAGAGGUAAGCGGAAUUCCUAGUGUAGCGGUGAAAUGCGUAGAUAUUAGGAGGAACACCAGUGGCGAAGGCGGCUUACUGGACGAUAACUGACGUUGAGGCUCGAAAGCGUGGGGAGCAAACAGGAUUAGAUACCCUGGUA
This 433-nucleotide ribosomal RNA is filed under the name uncultured bacterium. RNAcentral's name for it is "partial 16S ribosomal RNA". It matches the Rfam family "Bacterial small subunit ribosomal RNA", at positions 341 to 792 of the family's 1533-position model. The record is from RNAcentral.